GGGGAAUUUUGGACAAUGGGCGCAAGCCUGAUCCAGCAAUGCCGCGUGCAGGAUGAAGGCCUUCGGGUUGUAAACUGCUUUUGUACGGAACGAAAAGCCUCUCUCUAAUACAGGGGGGUGAUGACGGUACCGUAAGAAUAAGCACCGGCUAACUACGUGCCAGCAGCCGCGGUAAUACGUAGGAUCCGAGCGUUAUCCGGAUUUAUUGGGUUUAAAGGGUGCUCAGGCGGGGGGUUAAGUCGGCGGUGAAAUUUUGCAGCUCAACUGUAAAAGUGCCUUCGAAACUGGUUCCCUUGAGUGCGGAUGAGGUAGGCGGAAUUUGUGGUGUAGCGGUGAAAUGCAUAGAUAUCACGAGGAACUCCGAUUGCGCAGGCAGCUUACCAAGCCGUAACUGACGCUCAAGCACGAAGGCGUGGGGAUCAAACA
Molecule: ribosomal RNA, 426 nt
Filed under: uncultured Proteiniphilum sp.
Lineage: Bacteria; Pseudomonadati; Bacteroidota; Bacteroidia; Bacteroidales; Dysgonomonadaceae
Description: bacterial SSU rRNA
Rfam family: Bacterial small subunit ribosomal RNA
Source: RNAcentral